This 253-nucleotide ribosomal RNA is filed under the name uncultured bacterium. Its description in RNAcentral is "partial 16S ribosomal RNA". It matches the Rfam family "Bacterial small subunit ribosomal RNA", at positions 524 to 776 of the family's 1533-position model. The record is from RNAcentral.
UACGGAGGGUGCGAGCGUUGUCCGGAUUUAUUGGGUUUAAAGGGUGCGUAGGCGGCUUUUUAAGUCUGGGGUGAAAGCCCGCUGCUCAACAGCGGAACUGCCCUGGAUACUGGAGAGCUUGAGUACAGACGAGGUUGGCGGAAUGGACUGAGUAGCGGUGAAAUGCAUAGAUACAGUCCAGAACCCCGAUUGCGAAGGCAGCUGACUAGGCUGCUACUGACGCUGAGGCACGAAAGCGUGGGGAGCGAACAGG